CCCGAGGACGCCCAGCAGAUGUAGCUGAAGCCCAAUACAAACGACCUGUGGAAUCACUCCCCAGAAACUCCCUACGCAUAGCUUGUUUCAGAAGUUGUGAUUCAAUGCCGGUAAUCAAAUUCUGCAGAUGAAGAAUGUCAUCCUUAAUGGUGCUCAACUCAGGACAGUGGGCUUGUGACUCGUUCAAAGCAACAGAAGGCACAUUCUCAACAGCAUGAAUAUUCAUGUCUGAUGACAGAGAAGAUCCUGGAUGAUUUGAAGGAGCUGAAGAGUCUUUCUCAACAUGUCCUUGCAAGCUAUUAUGGUGGCAAAUUUCACCCGUGUGAUCAAUUACUUGUGGCAAAUGACUUGAUAAAGACAACUCCCUAGGUCUAAAGGACUUGUCAUUUUCUUGAUAUGGUAUGCUACUACCAUCCAUGACAACAUCUUUCACUUGCCCUUUAGUAUCCAUCGUAUUACCAGUUUGGCUGUCACAAUUGAGCUUUUUCUCAUAAUUCAGAACAGAAGGAUGUUUACCAAAGCCACUAAUCCCACAUCCCUCUUGACUGUCAUCUAUUGCAGGCACAUCAUCAGAGCAGGCACAGAAGUGAUUAGGUCUAUCACUCAAACUAGGUGGCUUUCCCAUACAAUUACUCUGAUUUGUAAAUGCAGAACCAAGUCCUUCCCUUGCAUCUCCAGAUGCGCUAGUAUCCAACUUCAAAGUUCUCACAGCCAGAA
RNAcentral lists this unclassified non-coding RNA (717 nucleotides) under Hevea brasiliensis (rubber tree). Lineage: Eukaryota; Viridiplantae; Streptophyta; Magnoliopsida; Malpighiales; Euphorbiaceae. The record is from RNAcentral.